Molecule: non-coding RNA, 158 nt
Organism: Vicugna pacos (alpaca)
Lineage: Eukaryota; Metazoa; Chordata; Mammalia; Artiodactyla; Camelidae
Source: RefSeq, a predicted model, not a curated record
UGGCAACUUAAGGCCAUCAGAGAGUGGACGUCUUUACCUUUCCCACCAAGCAGCCUGGGGGAAAAGCCUUAGAAUUUCAGCGUGAAGUGAAGGGUCUCCUCUUGCGUGGGGGUCUUCAUCUUCAUCUGCAGCAGGUAAUCCUUGCCAAAUUUUCUCUU